GUUAGAGUUUCGAAGGCGAUCAGAUACCGCCCUAGUUCUAACCAUAAACGAUGCCGACUGGCGAUCCGCCGGCGUUACUCCAAUGACGCGGCGGGCAGUCUGCGGGAAACCAAAGUCUUUGGGUUCCGGGGGAAGUAUGGUUGCAAAGCUGAAACUUAAAGGAAUUGACGGAAGGGCACCACCAGGAGUGGAGCCUGCGGCUUAAUUUGACUCAACACGGGGAAACUCACCCGGCCCGGACACAGUGAGGAUUGACAGAUUGAGAGCUCUUUCUUGAUUCUGUGGGUGGUGGUGCAUGGCCGUUCUUAGUUGGUGGAGCGAUUUGUCUGGUUAAUUCCGAUAACGAACGAGACUCUGGCUUGCUAAAUAGUCGCGCCGGCCGCCGUGCCGGGCGCUGACUUCUUAGAGGGACAAGUGGCGUUCANCCACGCGAGAUUGAUUAGAUGUUCGGGGCCGCACGCGCGCUACACUGAAGGGAUCAGCGGGUGUCCGCCCUUGGCCGGAAGGUCUGGGCAAUCCGUUGAACCUCAUUCGUGCUUGGGAUAGGGAGUUGCAAUUGUCUCCCUUGAACGARGAAUUCCCAGUAAGCGCGAGUCAUCAGCUCGCGUUGAUUACGUCCCUGCCCUUUGUACACACCGCCCGUCGCUACUACCGAUUGAAUGGUUUAGUGAGAUCCUCGGACGGGCCGCGGCGGGGCGCCCCCGGCUCCUCGCUCGUGCGCCCGGAAGACGAUCGAACUUGAUCAUUUAGANGAAGUAAAAUCGUAACAAGG
RNAcentral lists this ribosomal RNA (772 nucleotides) under Dermasterias imbricata. RNAcentral's name for it is "SSU rRNA". It matches the Rfam family "Eukaryotic small subunit ribosomal RNA", at positions 1000 to 1819 of the family's 1831-position model. Lineage: Eukaryota; Metazoa; Echinodermata; Asteroidea; Valvatida; Poraniidae. The record is from RNAcentral.